GGAGGUCACUGUGUUUGGUGGCCUGUCCGAUCCCAGCUGGUGGUGUGAUCCUGGACCAGGUCACGAUCUCUAAGCUCCAAUAAAUUCCGCAGUAAGCCGUGAGACGUCUCCUGACUCGACAGUGGGCUGAGAGUAGGUGGGAUGGAGGAGGGGAAGGACCCUCAGGAUGACAUCCCCGAAGGAGUCAGGUGGGCUUAGGGACUAGCGCCACCUCCCAUUGUGAUGCACUAGGAAGAUCUGCAGGGGAUUGGCCGGUUGGCCGUUGGGCGGGGAUAAAAGCCCACGUCGCCAGGGCCUGUGCUUGACAGAGUCUUGGCGCCCAGAGAAGGCCUUCCAGCUCCUGCUCCUUCUGCUGGUUCCUUCCAGGAGCGCUUUAAAGCUGACUCUGCUGAAGUGACCACUCUGACCCACAGCUCCUCUUCUGAGCUCAGGCACGGACUUCUCAUCCAUAUGUACCUUCUCUACCCUUGGGAAAGCCAAAGAAAAAGAGAAACACCAAGCUGAACCCCACUGGGUUCGGACGGAAACACCAAAAUUCCAGUGCUGGUGGAGUAGCAACGACAGGAAGUGCAUCACGAGAAUGAACAACAUCGUGAGCUCAGUGAUCCCAGUAUUAUGGGAAACCUCAGAAAGCUUCGGGAACUCUGGCUGACAAAGAAAAUAGAAGUGAGGGCGUGAAGUGCUAUCGGCAUGUUUGCAGAACACCAGAGUGAAAAAGACAGCCUCAGAAGGGGCAGGUGCCAGGUAUUUCUCAUAGUCGGUCUUUUACAGUGUUGAAAACGAUACAGACUUCUUCCCAAGCCGAAGGAAAAUGGAGGGUCAGGUGGGCAGGGGCUGGAUGAACCUUGAGGAGCCUGAAUCAUGAGGGGUGCUCACUUCAUGUGUCACAAGCCAGAGAGGAAAAUGUAGGUGGAAUCCUGGACCAAAAAAAUCAGAGCCCUAAUGAGCACCGUUGUCAGAGGUCCUGAGUCUGCAAAAGGAGGAGAAAAAGAAAAGUAUGCUGCCCACUCGGCCUCACUUAGUGCAUUUUCUUCUCCUUCAAACUGGAUGAAUGAACAUGCUUCUUCCCCCAUUGUCUUGGCAUCCCAACAGAUCAGCUACCCUAAAACUUCACAUCCCUUUGAAUGGGGGACCUCCACAAAACGUGAAAAGAGGAAGGGCCUCCUAAAGUUUUUUCCCAGCAUUUAAUUAUGAAAACUUUGAAACAUUAUGGAUGAGUGAAAGAACUUUACAGAUGACACGUGUAUUCCUGCAGCAUUAAUUCCAUCAUUAACAUUUAAAUGUUCUGGCUUUGUCACAUAUCUAUCCAUCCCAUCCAUCAACCCAUCUUAUUUUAUCUGUUUCAAACAAAAUUGCAGACAUCAGUAUACUUUCCUUAAAUAAUUCAGAAGGCAUGGUAACUAGAGUUCCACAUUUUGUACAGUAUACAUUUUAGUUAAAAUUUGCUUGCACUGAAAUGCACAUCUUAAGUGAUGAGUUUUAACAAAUGCAUACACCUAUGUAACACGAACCCCUGUGAGGUUAUAGAACGUUAACCUCAGCCCCACAAGAUUCUCUCAUGCCCUUUCCCAGUCAAUCCCCACGCCUAUCCCACAAAAACAACCACUGUUCUGGUUUUUUCCAGUGUGGCUAAGUUUUGUCUUAUGAAUGUCGUAUUAAUUGAGUUUAAUCGGCAAUGGCCAAUGAUUUAAUCAGUCAUGCCUAUGCAAUGAAGCUCCCAUAAAAACCCGAAAGGACAGGGUUUGGAGAGCUUCUGGGUUGGUGACCACGUGGAGGUGCUGGGAAAGUCGUGCUCAGAGAGGGCGUGGAAACUGCACACCCUUCCUCUUGCAUUGCCCUAUGCAUCUCUUCCAUCUGGCUAUUCCUAAGUUACAUCCUUUUAUAAUAAAGCAAUAAUCUAGUAAGUAAAAUGUUUUUCUGAGUUCUGAGCUGCUUUAGCAAAUUAAUCAAACUGAAGGUGGGGGUCAUCAGAACCUCCUCUCUAUAGCCAGUUGGUCAGAAGCCCAGGUGACAACCUGGACUUGCAAUUGGUGUCUGAAGUUGGGGGAGGGCAGUCUUGCAGGACUGAGCCCUUAACCGGUGGGAUCUGACGCUGUCUCUAGGUAGAUAGUGUCAGAACUGAGUUGAAUUGUAGGACACUCAGCUGGUGUCAGAGAAUUGCUUGGUGCUGUGGAGGGGAAAAACCCCACAUAUUGGAACUGGUGUCAGAAUUGGAAUCAUGUGCUGGGAAGCUAGGACCAGAGGGGGAACUUGCCCUCGGCCACACAAGUCCCAGCAUAUCCAGGAAAGCAGUGAUUUGUGCCCCUGCUAUGUCCUACUCUUGAUCACAGCUCAGAGGGAGCCAGGGCUGUCGGACUUUUAUUUUUUGGCAAUUAUAAAAGCUAAUAUUGUUGUAAGAAACAUUUGUAAUGCCACCUUUUGUUAUCUACAAGAUUUAAGAGACUAAUACAUUUUUAAAAAUUAUUAGCCUAAAAGUUAGUAUUAUUGUGAUUUUGGUGUGUAAUUCUUUAUUAUUAUUAUUUUUUACUUUCUUACUCCACCUUCUCAGGUCCCCCGCGUCCAUCUGACAGCACAGAGAUUAGCACUCAACCUCUGAAGGGUGGGGGUGGAGAAAGGGACUGAUUUUCCUCCUUCACCCUUAGCUUGGGCUCAGGCUAUGAGCAGGUCUGGGAAGGAAACCAGACGAAAUCUCUAACUCCCAGGAUGAUCAUGGUUCAGCCUUUCACCUUUCCCAUGUGUAAAUGAAGGAUUCACUUCAUUGUCCAGGACUCCUCAGUAGAUCUGAGCUGGAAUGGCUAAAGUGUGGAUGGCGUGUCCCCUCCUCUUUCCUCUCUCUCCAUUGCCAGCGUAGAUUCUUGGAGCCCCCACAGUCAUCCUCUGUGCAUGCUCCAGACAGGAUCCUGCACACUCCUUGCCCCCCCGAGUCCAGCUCCAGAGAGCCCAUGAUGGUCAUCUUGGGCAGGCUGCCUGGGCAGGAAGGUCACUUGCAUCAUGGCCUCCUGGGGUUACUCCUCUGACCUCCUGCUCCAUCUCACCAGCUUUUGGACAGAAAUGGCUCCUGGGACAUACUCAGCGCUGGGUUCCUGUCCCAGGGUUACCCGUUGGGCUUCAGAGAGAAAGAAGCUUUUUGUGUGUGUCUGUUAUGUAUAAAUGACUCUGCGUGUGUAUUCUCAGGCAAUAGCUUUCAUUUAUUAAGUGUCCACAAUGUUCUAGGUUUUCUGAUAAGCCUCUUCAUGGAGCAUGACUGUCAUAAUGACAAUGUCAGUGCGUACUUCUGCUUAGACCCAGGGGCGCCCUUUCCAUCUGGCUGCCUCUGCCAUGUUCCUCACCUGCGUGGAGAAGGUGAAGGAAGUUCCCACAUUAGGGAGACCCAGAGCACCAACUUCAGGCAGGCCAUAUUGCUGGGAGACCAAGAAAAAAAAAUCUCUCUUGGGUUAACUGUGCCCACAGGAGCAGGAGCAGAGAGCUAAGAGGACUUCACUUCCAGUUCGGGGACAACUCAAUACUUUGGAGAGAGAAUCUGCAGAAACCAUUUGCCACUUUCUAGAAAACAAUUGAGGCUGCUUUUGGGGCUGGGUUGGAGAACGUGACAACGACACAUUUCUUCUCCCCAAAGAAGCAUUUCUUAGUGUCUCAAUUCUUGAAAACAAAAGGCAACAUCCCAGAGUGGGUCAGUCUCUGAACUGCUUCUCUAACGCUGAGGCAUCCAGCUGUGAAUGAUGCCCUGAGCGGGAGGGACCAGUAAGGGUGGGCACCAGAAUGCAAGGCAGAGCUGUUUAACCAAGGACCAUGGGUGGCCUCGGGACACAGUGAACACCCUGAAGUGGUUACAGAUCAUGAGGCUGGCAAUGCAUGGAGAGAGGGCUCACUGCUUUUAUCUGAUUUCCCCAAAUCAUCAAGACUCAAUGACAGAGGUUCCUUGCCCCAAGCUAAAUCAUGACCCCCAGGAAUUCUGACCCAGAUGGGACCUUGCACACUACUCAUUCCAAAAUUUCCAUCUUACGGAUGAAGAACCUGUGACCAAAUGAAGAAACGGUUGUCCAAGACCCCACUGCAAUUAAAGAUUUGGGAAGAGACACAAAAGCAUUGAUAUAAGUUGGGUGCCUGUCACCUAUUAUAAAUUCAGCAGCACAUAAUCUUUCUUAUUCGUUCACAAAAAGGGGGCAUGUUAUUUGUUGGUUUCCUUGCUUUGCUCCCCUUAAGGGAAAGCCAGCAGCUGCAGACCCUCCUUGUCUGAGGGUCUGGCUGAUGUGACC
Molecule: long non-coding RNA, 4256 nt
Filed under: Equus caballus (horse)
Lineage: Eukaryota; Metazoa; Chordata; Mammalia; Perissodactyla; Equidae
Description: lncRNA (ENSECAG00000053500.1)
Source: RNAcentral